This 288-nucleotide unclassified non-coding RNA is filed under the name uncultured fungus. RNAcentral describes it as "partial contains small subunit ribosomal RNA, internal transcribed spacer 1, and 5.8S ribosomal RNA". The stretch from base 1 to 73 matches the Rfam family "Eukaryotic small subunit ribosomal RNA", at positions 1759 to 1831 of the family's 1831-position model. Lineage: Eukaryota; Fungi. The record is from RNAcentral.
GCAAACUUGGUCAUUUAGAGGAAGUAAAAGUCGUAACAAGGUCUCCGUAGGUGAACCUGCGGAGGGAUCAAUAACAUAUUAUUCCAAAUAUGGGAAAAGAGAGAAUCCAAAAGGGGGGUAACCCUUUUUUGGGCUCUUUUUCUCCCAAAACACAAACAAACAAACAAUCACAACUAUUGAAAUGAUUUGGAUAAAAGUGUUUGCCUGAUAUUAUAUUGAUUUGGAAAAGAAAAACACACAACUUUCAACAACGGAUCUCUUGGCUCUCACAUCGAUGAAGAACGCAGC